GUUAUUUUGGCAGAAAUUAUGUGUAGGAUUUAGGAUCCUAUAAAAUAGGUUUAUCCUAUA
RNAcentral lists this transfer RNA (60 nucleotides) under Clypeasterophilus rugatus. RNAcentral describes it as "tRNA-Leu". Lineage: Eukaryota; Metazoa; Arthropoda; Malacostraca; Decapoda; Pinnotheridae. The record is from RNAcentral.